UCCGUGACUACAGACUGUCUCUCCAACCUCAAAACUUGAAUGGAGGAAGCAUUGCAUUUCCAGUGGUUCUUAUCACAGUUGUUGUCAGUGACUACAAACAGUCUAACUUGAAUGAUGAAAAGAGAAACAUACAUCUGGAGUUGUAGAAUUGUGAGACAAUGGGAUCUGCCACCACUAUUUUCCUUUGCUGCUUAGGUUUCCCUGUUCACUUUCUCAUAUGGCCUGUUGGAUUUUCUUUCUCGACAACUUUGUGGGUAUGACAUUGUUUCUUUCUCUAUUAUAUUCUGAUGGAUGAAUUGGCAUUCUUCGCUCCUGGAAUGUUGGCUUUAGGAGCUUCAGGUUAUGGCCCUGAUGAAG
Molecule: non-coding RNA, 357 nt
Organism: Camelina sativa (false flax)
Lineage: Eukaryota; Viridiplantae; Streptophyta; Magnoliopsida; Brassicales; Brassicaceae
Source: RefSeq, a predicted model, not a curated record